ACACAUGCAGUCGAACGGUGAAGCAGACGNUUGCUCUGGUGGAUCAGUGGCGAACGGGUGAGUAACACGUGAGCAACCUGCCCCUGACUCUGGGAUAAGCGCUGGAAACGGCGUCUAAUACUGGAUAUGAGCUGCGACCGCAUGGUCAGCAGUUGGAAAGAUUUUUCGGUCUGGGAUGGGCUCACGGCCUAUCAGCUUGUUGGUGAGGUAAUGGCUCACCAAGGCGUCGACGGGUAGCCGGCCUGAGAGGGUGACCGGCCACACUGGGACUGAGACACGGCCCAGACUCCUACGGGAGGCAGCAGUGGGGAAUAUUGCACAAUGGGCGCAAGCCUGAUGCAGCAACGCCGCGUGAGGGACGACGGCCUUCGGGUUGUAAACCUCUUUUAGCAG
This 393-nucleotide ribosomal RNA is filed under the name bacterium xpnta269lb821offp11.20. RNAcentral's name for it is "bacterial SSU rRNA". It matches the Rfam family "Bacterial small subunit ribosomal RNA", at positions 51 to 442 of the family's 1533-position model. The record is from RNAcentral.